UACGUAUGUCGCGAGCGUUAUCCGGAAUUAUUGGGCAUAAAGGGCAUCUAGGCGGCCGGAUAAGUCUGGGGUGAAAACUUGCGGCUCAACCGCAAGCCUGCCCUGGAAACUAUGCGGCUAGAGUACUGGAGAGGUGGACGGAACUGCACGAGUAGAGGUGAAAUUCGUAGAUAUGUGCAGGAAUGCCGAUGAUGAAGAUAGUUCACUGGACGGUAACUGACGCUGAAGUGCGAAAGCUAGGGGAGCAAACAGG
This 253-nucleotide ribosomal RNA is filed under the name uncultured bacterium. Its description in RNAcentral is "partial 16S ribosomal RNA". It matches the Rfam family "Bacterial small subunit ribosomal RNA", at positions 524 to 776 of the family's 1533-position model. The record is from RNAcentral. RNAcentral also lists the same sequence under 1 other name.